UGGGGAAUCUUCCGCAAUGGACGAAAGUCUGACGGAGCAACGCCGCGUGAGUGAAGACGGCCUUCGGGUUGUAAAGCUCUGUGAUUCGGGACGAAAGGCCAUAUGUGAAUAAUAUAUGGAAAUGACGGUACCGAAAAAGCAAGCCACGGCUAACUACGUGCCAGCAGCCGCGGUAAUACGUAGGUGGCAAGCGUUGUCCGGAAUUAUUGGGCGUAAAGCGCGCGCAGGCGGUCACUUAAGUCCAUCUUAGAAGUGCGGGGCUUAACCCCGUGUUGAUAUGGAAACUGGGUGACUGGAGUAUCGGAGAGGAAAGUGGAAUUCCUAGUGUAGCGGUGAAAUGCGUAGAUAUUAGGAAGAACACCGGUGGCGAAGGCGACUUUCUGGACGAAAACUGACGCUGAGGCGCGAAAGCGUGGGGAGCAAACAGG
RNAcentral lists this ribosomal RNA (428 nucleotides) under Verrucomicrobiota bacterium. RNAcentral describes it as "Verrucomicrobia bacterium partial 16S ribosomal RNA". It matches the Rfam family "Bacterial small subunit ribosomal RNA", at positions 355 to 776 of the family's 1533-position model. Lineage: Bacteria; Pseudomonadati; Verrucomicrobiota. The record is from RNAcentral.